Molecule: long non-coding RNA, 1211 nt
Organism: Austrofundulus limnaeus
Lineage: Eukaryota; Metazoa; Chordata; Actinopteri; Cyprinodontiformes; Rivulidae
Exons: 2
Source: RefSeq, a predicted model, not a curated record
CUCAGCUUAGCCUGUUAGCUUUAGCGUUAGCCCAGAUGCUAUACUAUCUUAUAUGUAUUAGCUCGGCACUAGCGCGAAGGCCAUCUGCUCUUCCUGACGUCAACACUACGUCAUCAGCAACCCAUAAACAGGAUUAUUUUAACCUGGCAGUUUUCAGUGUGUACACAUACUGGCCGAUGCAGAGUUGACAAUCGGAGGAGUCAGGACAACAGUAGUAGUGAGGUCGUUGGGAACUUGUGCUUAGAUCUGCGUCUUCCCAGAAUGCUCCUCUCCUCGAUGAUUGGCUGUAGUUUGAUCACUUCCUGUGGCUCUACUUCCUGAUGAGGUCUGAAUUACCUGCUGUCCCUGAACGUCUCUGAGGCAGGAGUGGACCACAGUGAAGGUUUUUUAAACGAGUGCCACACUCCUCGGCGCCAAAACCUUCUCAUUACCUUCCAGCUGGAGGGUGUGUGUGUGUGUUUGUGUGUCACACUUGGAUGAUUCCCCCUUGUUGUUAGCGAACUCUUUGCACUUGGCCUCGUGUCAUGUUUAUUUUUUUAAAUCAAAUCGUUUGUUGUCAAAGUGCCAGUUUUUCUCCUCUUGACAUCCGUGCUGAGCUCAGUUUGUGUCUGUUUUACUUUUGUCACCACUUCCACACAGCGUCUCCUGGUGAGGCUUACUCCAACAACUGAGAGGGUCCUCAGGACAGCCAGCUCAAAUAAAGACAAAAAUAAAACCAGUAAACCCUUUAAGAAGCUCAGCUGCAGAGCGUGUAUGAGUCUGAACAGAUGUGUGAUCCUGGUGUCGGUGCAUUCCUUCAGGUUUCAGCAGAGACCACUCUGGUUUGGUUUGUGAGACGUUAGCAGGACCUGCAUCAGUCCUGUGCAUGUCUGGCUGCAUGGAUACACCUGAUUAAUGCUGGUCUGAACUUUUUUUCCUUUUUUGCAUUAGUUUUCUUAAUGAAACAAGAAGUUUUAUGGAGUACCUCAGCUUCUGAACUGUGACAGCAGGAAGUGUCUUACUUUUAUACUCCGUUGUAAUCGUGCUCAGAUCCAGCAGCAGCAGCCAUGUUGUUCUGUUCCAGCAUCACUGAAGCGGGCGCCACGCUGUAAAAACCUGUUUGUGUUUGUUGUAAAACUCUGCUGAAUGUGCCAUUAGAGCAGGGAGGCUUCAUGAUGUGUACCCUGCUCAUCAGCAGCGAUGAUGGGACAAAUAAAUUAUGGAAACAAAAA